UACCAGCUCUCCGAGUGGUAGGGAUGAUUAUUGGGCUUAAAGCGUCCGUAGCCGGCUUAGCAAGUUUCCUGUUAAACCCAGCGACUCAAUCGUUGGAUCGCGGGAAAUACUACUAGGCUAGGAGGCGGGAGAGGUCAACGGUACUUCUGGGGUAGGGGUGAAAUCCUAUAACGUCCCGGGAGGACCACCAGUGGCGAAGGCUGUUGACUAGACGCGCUCGACGGUGAGGGACGAAAGCGUGGGGUAGCAAACCGGAUUAGACUACCCGGGUAGUCCCAGCUGUAAACGAUGCGAGCUAGGUGUUGGGAUGGCUACGGGCCAUUUCAGUGCCGCAGGGAAGCCAUUAAGCUCGCCCGCCUGGGGAGUACGGCCGCAAGGCUGAAACUUAAAGGAAUUGGGCGGGGAGCACCACAAGGCGUGAAGCUUGCGGUUC
Molecule: ribosomal RNA, 433 nt
Filed under: uncultured archaeon
Lineage: Archaea
Description: bacterial SSU rRNA
Rfam family: Archaeal small subunit ribosomal RNA
Source: RNAcentral